RNAcentral lists this ribosomal RNA (254 nucleotides) under uncultured bacterium. RNAcentral's name for it is "partial 16S ribosomal RNA". It matches the Rfam family "Bacterial small subunit ribosomal RNA", at positions 524 to 776 of the family's 1533-position model. The record is from RNAcentral.
GACAUAGGUGGCGAACGUUAUCCGGAAUUAUUGGGCGUAAAGGGUGCGUAGGUGGCCCGGUCAGUUCGUGGUGAAAGCGCGGGGCUCAACCCUGCGUCGGCCAUGAAUACUGCCGCGGCUGGAGCACUGUAGAGGCAGGCGGAAUUCCGGGUGUAGCGGUGGAAUGCGUAGAGAUCCGGAAGAACACCGGUGGCGAAGGCGGCCUGCUGGGCAGUUGCUGACACUGAGGCGCGACAGCGUGGGGAGCAAACAGG